Molecule: long non-coding RNA, 3860 nt
Organism: Psammomys obesus (fat sand rat)
Lineage: Eukaryota; Metazoa; Chordata; Mammalia; Rodentia; Muridae
Exons: 4
Source: RefSeq, a predicted model, not a curated record
UCCCGCCCAGGAAAGGCCGCCCCGGGCGCUGCCCAACCCCGGAACCCAGCAGGGAGCGCACACCCGGGAGUAGGCAGGGACAUCUGAGGCUUGGGUGGCUCUUACUCCCCGGCCACAGCGGCUCUCCGGAAACCCCUGCCAAGCGACUGUUCCCGGGCAGCCCAGACGCUUUUCCCACGCUGGAGGUGCACACGAGGCCACCCCCAAUCAGAGCAGCGCGGUGACCUUCCCCAGGAACCUGCUGGCCCCCGGGGAGUUGUAGUUUCAGCUCCCAACAGGUCACUUUCCGCCCCACAAGCCGGAGAGACCUUGGCCCUAUGUGUUAAAGCAAAGUUGCUGAGGUCUCCGCUUUAAAAAACUUCAGAGAGCGCGCAUUGCCACCGCCUUUAAAACAGAAACAAACAAACAAACAAAAAAGAUGAAACUGUUUCUUUUGCAUUUGUUUGGUUUUGUGCAUUUGGAUAGUUUUUAAGUCUCUUAUUUCAAACUUUCCGUCUUCGCUCUGAAGGAUCUGUGUGUAAAAAUCGCCUGUUCACAUGACUGCGGAGACUGUGGGGUUUGGUGCCCUGCCCCGUGGCACUUGCUGGUCUGCAGUAAGCCUCCUCCGUGACUUUCCAUUACUUCCUGCAGCGACAGGUAAGACUAGCAAAGAACCUGGAAACAAAACAAAAUGUGACCUGUGUUUCACUGAUAGAUCUAUUGCUGGAAACGGUGUAUUAAGACUGGGUAACAAUCUGUAAUGUUUGAUAUAGUCUUAUCUAAAACCGAAUCUAUUUUGCCAAUGAAAUGUUUCACAUACUUGAACGCUGAGGCAAAAGGCAGGACACCGGAAAAGUUGUUCGGGCCUUAGGACAGACAGCUAACUGUUGUAUGGUACUGCACACAGCACAAGAGGCCGACAUCCCUGCUUUCCACCCUCUAAAUGCCAGUAAUUGUAGCCCCCCCCCCCCCCCCCCCCAAAAAAAAAAACUCUACACACACACAUUUCCAGACCCAUUCACCGUACUCCCCAUCUCUCCUCCCUCCCCAUCCUCAUUAAGAAGCCCUGAUUCUGGUGAAGGAAUCAAGGGCUGUCUUGCUGGCGGGGUGUUCUGAGGUUUGUGGCUGGAGAACUGCAUUGAUAGGAGUGUCCAGAAUUGCCCCCCACAUUCCUUCUAUUACAUCACUCAGGACCCUUCUUUCCAGCAGUGAGAGCAGAGGCUGCCCCUCAGACAUGAAGGACGAGGGCUGAGAAUGUAUUCCAUGGCCAUUUCCUUCUAUUUUCAUCACAUUUGAUUUACUUCUUGUGCUCGGGUGUGUGCACGUGUGCCGUGAGGCACAGGUGGAGGCUGAAGGACAACUUCCAAAGUCGAUUCUCUCCUCCUCCGGGAGAUGCAUCCCAGGUCAUCAGGCAUCUUUACCGGCUGAGCCAUCCCACCAGCCCAGCCGUUCUUUCAUCAGUUGGUUAUUCUCCAAGUCCUUGUCUACUGAGUGUCAAGUAAGCCCUGUGGCUGCUGUCUGGAUCUAUACUUGGUUCCAGAGUAGUGAAUGCACAGUUCGGGAGAUGGGAGACUAAGAGAACUUUUAAAGGAUGGCAAGAGGGCAUGAUGGGGGAGAGGGCCGGGACUAGGCGGAACAACUCCCUAUUCAGGGGGGAAAGGAAAUACAACUGGCAGAGUCUGGGAAGCCAUGCCGAGCCCAGCUAGGAAGGGCGGGCAGCUAGGAAUGAGCAGCAGUAGAGGAUGGAAGGGAGAAGGGAAGACACUGGAGUAAGGCCAAGGCAGAGCGAUUCUGCUGGUAUUCGGCUUUAAAUGCACCUGCUGGCAGCCCAUUAAGCAAGCCCCGCCCUCAUCCCUGAAGCAAAUGCUUCCCCGGGUGAAUGGGUGAACGUGUAGCUAGAGCAGUAGUUUAUUCUGCCCUAGUAAGCUUUCCUAGCUGUGACAGUAAUUCAUCCAAAGAGACACUAAUCCUCAUUCGUUAUUAUGAGACUUAUUGGGGUGUUGGGGUGGGGAUUCUGCACCAAGCGGUACAUACUUGUCCAUCCUGCCAGACCACCAGGAAGUGAGCAGAAAUACAGGGAAUAUAUUACUUUCUUAUAUGUGUCCUUUAGGAGGCAAUUCCAGUCUCUCCCAGAUUGCUGCUUUCCUCACAGUCAAACUGCUUGUGAAAUAACCAAACCUGCUAUCAAGCUACAAGGCAGUCAGAGUUUCUUCAUCUGUGUCUCAGAAGAGCAUGGUUUGUUUGUUUGUUUGUUUGUUUGUUUUUUCUGUUUUGUUUUUAUUUCCAGGCAGAAAGCACUAAUGUAUACACAGAUACUUCAAAUGCAAAACACCCCAAUCAGCAAUUGGUUACAAGCAAGAAACCAGUUAUGGAUACCUUGAGUUGAAGAGAGUUUGGAAAAAAGUUUCUGUCAAAUGCUGGAGUGAUGGUGGCCAGGGAUAUGAACCUGACGUGGGAAAGUUCUAAAGAGUCAAAGAGCUCAAAUAUCUUUUUGUUGGUAUUAUUAUUUUCUCCUUAAAAAAAAUAAAUUUUCUUUUCUUUUUGAGAUUUUCAUAUGUUAGCAUCAUAAUUCAUUUAUUUCCACCCUAUCUUCUCCACACUCCAACUUUCUGUAUGUCUCUCUCAAAUUCAUGACCUCCUCUCUUUACUUAUUACUGAUACACAGACGUGAUAUAUAUCCUGCUGAUCUGCUGAGUUCACUCAGCGUUGCUCAUAUGCAUACGUGUUUAGGGAUGACCUCUUGGAAUUAGAUAACCUAUCAGGACGUCCAUCCCAGGAGAAGACUGAUUUCCCUCUCUCUUAGCAGCAUUCAUCGCCUGUAGCUCUUCAUCUAGGGUAGGGCCUGUGAGGUUUACUCCAUCCACAUUGGGAUGUCAGCUGGUGUUGUCAUUGUGAGAAUCUUGUUUAGAUGACCAUGUUGUUGAAAUGUCAUGGGUGUAGCUCCCUGUCAGGCAUGAAAAAACUAUCUCACAGCAGACAUCCUGUGGCCUUCUGUGAUGCUCUCUCUCUCUCUCUCUCUCUCUCUCUCUCUCUCUGAUGCAAAAAGUUAGCUUCUUUGGUGAGGGGUGAAAGCUACACUUAUCCAUGAAUGUAAUGAUAAAUAUUUAGAAUCAAGUUGGGGAUUUUAUUGUUUCUAGUGUCAGUAAUAGGUUUUCCUCUAGGGUUCAUGAACUCACCAGCCAUUGGAAGUUGGCUGGGUUUACAGGACCAGUCAUGCAUUCCUUCCUACUAAGCUAUCCUUAAGGCCAACUAGACAGCAAUUGGUUACCCCGAAAAUAUACAUACCACUAUUGCAUCCUUAGGUAUAUCUUGCCAUAUUGGUCAUUGUCAGAAGCAGGCUGGCCACUCCCUGGAUAUUCACAGCACCACCACAAAUGACUAUAAAAUGCAAUGUGCCCAGCACCUCCCACACCUGCCAGCUGCCAUGUUUUCCCUGCUGUGAUGGACUGUGUCUCCUAGAACAACCUUUGUGUCCUUCCGUCUGGAGACCCAUCACCAACGUAAUGAAUUCAAUGUGUCCUGAAAAAUGGUGCUCUACGUUCACAUCGCCUCAGAGCUAGUGCUUCGCUGUGAUUGUGCACCUCGGCUCCAACAGCCUACAUGCCCAGUUGCCUCUGGUGGGCGGUGCAAUUUCCGAUAACUAGGAGUUCCCAUGGUCGUGAUCCACACCUCCUUUGCUUGAACUUGCUGCCCUGCCACAUGGAGCUCUGCCCCACUCCCUGAGCUACUGGAUAAAGAGAAACCAGGAUCUCAUGGAAAUCCGAAAGAUGCCAAUCCUUUCCAGAAAGACAACACAAAGUUGACAGAGCAGGCCAGGCCAGAGGAUGCUUUUGCCGGAGGCCCUGAGAAUGUGGGGAAUAAACCCUAUGGAGAGGCUAGAA